CGGGGCGUGGCUCAGUCCGGCUAGAGCACUUGGUUUGGGACCAAGGAGUCGGUGGUUCAAAUCCACUCGCCCCGACCA
RNAcentral lists this transfer RNA (78 nucleotides) under Candidatus Omnitrophota bacterium. Its description in RNAcentral is "tRNA-Pro". It matches the Rfam family "tRNA". From Rfam's summary of the family: Transfer RNA (tRNA) molecules are approximately 80 nucleotides in length. Their secondary structure includes four short double-helical elements and three loops (D, anti-codon, and T loops). Lineage: Bacteria; Pseudomonadati; Candidatus Omnitrophota. The record is from RNAcentral.